RNAcentral lists this long non-coding RNA (753 nucleotides) under Ananas comosus (pineapple). RNAcentral's name for it is "long non-coding RNA (ACOM_LNC001422)". The record is from RNAcentral. Lineage: Eukaryota; Viridiplantae; Streptophyta; Magnoliopsida; Poales; Bromeliaceae.
AGAAUCAACUACAUAAUAUCUCAAUAGAAUCGACAAGUAAGUUCGCAUUUGGAUUAAAUGCGAAUCCGAAUUCGAAUCCAAAUCCAAAUCCAAUGAAGAAUAGUGAAUAGAUAGAAAAUGAUUUUUGCAUGAUGAAUAAAUUAAUGUAUCUAUUCUAGGAGAUUGAUUAUUAGAAAUCAACGCUUCGAGUUUGUACGAUUGGAUGCCUUUCUAAUUUUUUACAAAAAAGCAGUGAAUCAUUUAUCAUUUUUCGCUUAUUUAUUGUUUCUUUCUAUAUUCAAUAUUUAAUGUUAACAACUAUAUAGAAAUUUCAACAAAUCACAUAUAAUUUUUAUAAUUUUAAAAUCUUAAUAAUUUAUCUAUAUAAUUUUAUAUAAUUUUAAAAAAAUACUAAUAAUCUACUCAUACAAUCCUAACAAUCAAAUAAAAAUUCUAAUAAUUUGCAUAUAAUCCUAACAGCCUCACUUUUUUUUAUUUUUCAUAUAAUCCACGUACAAUUUUAAUAAUUAUGAAGACAGUAAAUCGUUAACCAUCUUAAUAAAUACGGUAAAUGCGAUGAACAAUUCACCGUCUUUAAAAGGUAUGGAAGAAUACGCCAAUACUAUGAACGAUUCACCGCGUUUUGAAAAAAAAUUCUACGCGGCUCCUACGUAGCGACGAGAGUGUUAGUUUGCAAAAUAUAAAUUUGGCAGAAUUAUUUUUUAAAUUACAAAAUUUGAACAGUUUGCUGUGCCAGAAAAAUUUUUAAAAAAA